UUCAUAAAAUAACACUACACUUUUCUGUACAUCAGAUACCAGCUAUGAAUGAGUGUUUUGUGGAGAUGGUAGCAGAAAGAGUCAUCGUAGAAUCUGUAAUCAGCGGAUGAUAGCAAAACGUGGUCUGAUUUCAAAUAGGCUAUAUGAAAAAGGAUCUAUAGCAAAGCCAUGGAAAAAAGGAUGGCGUUUUCUUCUCUUUCGAAUAGAAGCUGUUACUUAGAAAAGAUGAAAACUCAAGUGUACAUAUAUAUAGAUAUAUUUGACAAAAAAAAGUGUAUAUAAAUAUUCCAGAGUACAUAAAAAAUCACAAGCAUUAAAUA
Long non-coding RNA from Brassica napus (rape), 320 nucleotides. RefSeq lists it as uncharacterized. Lineage: Eukaryota; Viridiplantae; Streptophyta; Magnoliopsida; Brassicales; Brassicaceae. The transcript has 2 exons. The record is from RefSeq and is a predicted model, not a curated record.